This 753-nucleotide ribosomal RNA is filed under the name Cissus repens. RNAcentral's name for it is "eukaryotic LSU rRNA". The stretch from base 337 to 492 matches the Rfam family "5.8S ribosomal RNA". The record is from RNAcentral. Lineage: Eukaryota; Viridiplantae; Streptophyta; Magnoliopsida; Vitales; Vitaceae.
CGUAACAAGGUUUCCGUAGGUGAACCUGCGGAAGGAUCAUUGUCGAACUUUGCACCGCAGAACGACCCGUGAACACGUUUGUACACACGCCCGGGGCGGGGCAGGCGCGAGCCCGUCCCCCGUCCCGUCCCCGGUUGGGGGGGAUCCGUUUGGCUCGGUGGCUCGUCGUGCCUCGCGCGCGUCCGAGCGUCGUCCUACGGCGAUCCCUCGAUCGGACAACGAACCCCGGCGCGGAACGCGCCAAGGAAGCAUACACAAAAGCGAUUCUCCCCCUUCGGCCCGGGCAUCGGGCCGGUCGGGGGGGCCGUCGUGGUUGGUUUAAAACAAAACCUAAACGACUCUCGGCAACGGAUAUCUAGGCUCUCGCAUCGAUGAAGAACGUAGCAAAAUGCGAUACUUGGUGUGAAUUGCAGAAUCCCGUGAAUCAUCGAGUCUUUGAACGCAAGUUGCGCCCGAAGCCAUCAGGCCGAGGGCACGCCUGCCUGGGCGUCUCGCACUCGUCGCCCCCACCCUCCCCCUCCGGGGGCAGGGAAUCGGGGGGCGGAUAAUGGCCUCCCGUGGACUCUCGCGUGUGCGGUUGGCCCAAAAACGGUCCCGAGGCGGCUCGCGCCACGACAGUCGGUGGUCACGCACUAGCUCCUUGUCGUGCGCGGCGUGUCGUCUCGUCCACGUCCCUUUCGGAGGGAAGACCCGAGACACUCGAUCGUGACCCAGGUCAGCGGGAUUACCCGCUGAGUUUAAGCAUAUCAAUAA